GUGAUCCUACGGGAGGCAGCAGUGGGGAAUAUUGCGCAAUGGGCGAAAGCCUGACGCAGCGACGCCGCGUGAGGGAUGAAGGUCUUCGGAUCGUAAACCUCUGUCAGCAGGGAAGAACGGUCACGGUGGUAAUCAGCAGUGAAUUGACGGUAUCUGCAAAGGAAGCACCGGCUAACUCCGUGCCAGCAGCAGCGGUAAUACGGAGGGGGCGAGCGUUAAUCGGAAUUACUGGGCGUAAAG
This 240-nucleotide ribosomal RNA is filed under the name uncultured bacterium. Its description in RNAcentral is "partial 16S ribosomal RNA". It matches the Rfam family "Bacterial small subunit ribosomal RNA", at positions 333 to 565 of the family's 1533-position model. The record is from RNAcentral.